Molecule: ribosomal RNA, 652 nt
Filed under: uncultured fungus
Lineage: Eukaryota; Fungi
Description: eukaryotic LSU rRNA
Rfam family: 5.8S ribosomal RNA (bases 252-405)
Source: RNAcentral
CAUUAUUGAAAUAAACCUGAUGAGUUGCUGCUGGCCCUCUAGAGAGCAUGUGCACACUUAUCAUCUUUAUAUUUCCACCUGUGAACCUUUUGUAGACCUGAAUAUCUCUCUGAAAAUGCCCUUGGCAUAUUUGAAGUGUUGAGGAUUGACUUUUUGUCCUUUCCUUAAUUUUUCAGGUUUAUGUUUUCCACAUACCCCAUGUAUGUUUAUAGAGUGUAAUAAGUGGGCCUUUAGUGCCUAUAAACUUAUACAACUUUCAGCAACGGAUCUCUUGGCUCUCGCAUCGAUGAAGAACGCAGCGAAAUGCGAUAAGUAAUGUGAAUUGCAGAAUUCAGUGAAUCAUCGAAUCUUUGAACGCAUCUUGCGCUCCUUGGUAUUCCGAGGAGCAUGCCUGUUUGAGUGUCAUUAAUAUAUCAACCUCUUCAGCUUUUUGUUGGGUGUUGGAUGUUGGGGGUUUCCUUUGCUGAACUCUCUUUUUGAGGUCAGCUCCCCUAAAAUGCAUUAGCAAAACAAUUUGUUUACUGCUCAUUGGUGUGAUAAACUAUCUACGCUAUUGACGUAAAGCAUGGUUUAGCUUCUAACAGUCUAUUGACUUGGACAAACCUUUCAUUAAUGUGACCUCAAAUCAGGUAGGACUACCCGCUGAACUUAA